Molecule: small nucleolar RNA, 134 nt
Organism: Pteronotus mesoamericanus
Lineage: Eukaryota; Metazoa; Chordata; Mammalia; Chiroptera; Mormoopidae
Product: small nucleolar RNA SNORA42/SNORA80 family
Exons: 1
Source: RefSeq, a predicted model, not a curated record
GAAUGGGUUUGAAUUUAUGGUAGGUCUAUCCCCGUGGGUCUCUCAUAUUUCCCCAUGUCAGAGCAAACUGUGGCCUUAAGCCAUUGCCUGGCCUCUGCCCAUAGGCUGCAGGCACUGAGGUGGGUUGCACAAUG